UCGGCUCGCUACACUUGUCGGGUGGCAACACCCUAAACCGAUAUCGGAGUUUAUUAUUAUGGCAAUGACCGCCGCUCAAAAAGCACAGAUCGUUAAAGACUACCAGCGCCAGGAA
This is a regulatory RNA element of Vogesella sp. EB, 115 nucleotides long. It matches the Rfam family "Ribosomal S15 leader". From Rfam's summary of the family: The E. coli Ribosomal S15 gene 5' UTR can form two alternative structures. One that is a series of three hairpins, The other includes a pseudoknot. The record is from Rfam. Lineage: Bacteria; Pseudomonadati; Pseudomonadota; Betaproteobacteria; Neisseriales; Chromobacteriaceae.